AUGGCCGGGCACGAGUGGGACUGGUUCCAGCGCGAGGAGCUCAUCGGGCAGAUCAGCGACAUCCGCGUGCAGAACCUGCAGGUGGAACGGGAAAAUGUACAGAAGAGGACCUUUACCAGAUGGAUAAACUUACAUUUGGGAAAGUGUACACCUCCUCUGAAAGUGAGAGAUUUAUUUAUUGAUAUACAAGAUGGCAAAAUCUUGAUGGCUUUACUGGAAGUCCUGUCAGGACAAAAGCUGAUGCAUGAAUACAAAUCUUCAACCCAUCGCAUUUUUCGUUUAAACAAUAUAGCCAAAGCGCUUAAGUUUUUGGAGGACAGUAAUGUAAAACUUGUUAGCAUCGAUGCAGCAGAAAUAGCAGAUGGAAAUUCCUCUCUGGUACUGGGACUAAUAUGGAAUAUAAUCUUGUUUUUUCAGAUUAAAGAACUCACAGGCAACCUCAACAGGAACUCAUCCUCUUCCAGCCUGUCAUCUGGGCCCAGUGGGCCCGAGUCAGACACGUCUCAGACAAGCACUCCAAAUGCAGAGAGAAGCAUGUCUGUUACUGUGAAAGAUCAGCGAAAAGCCAUCAGAGCCCUUCUGACCUGGGUUCAGAGGAAAACCAGAAAAUACGGUGUUGCAGUUCAGGACUUUGCCAGCAGCUGGAGGAGCGGCCUCGCUUUCUUAGCCGUUAUAAAAGCGAUAGACUCGACUUUGGUAGACAUGAAGCCAGCACUGGAGAAGUCUGCUCGGGAAAACCUGGAGGAUGCUUUCAGCAUAGCACAAAGUAGGCUCGGUGUCCCUAGGCUACUGGAGCCAGAAGAUAUAAUGGUGGAAUCACCCGAUGAACAAUCGAUUGUGACGUAUGUGGCGCAAUUUCUGGAACACUUCCCCGAGCUGGAAGGGGAAGACUUUACAGAUCCUGACAAAGAGUUUCCAAUUGAGUCUACAUAUGUCCACAUUAAAGAUACACCUUCAGAACAGGAAGGCAAAAUCUUGAUUUUAAGUGAAAACGAAGACAAUAUGUAUACUGUUAACCAUGAACGGAGCCAUCCUGCUCCUCCAAAGGUUCAUAUUCCUGAUACCGCAGAGAGAAUCCACUCAGAAACUCUUCCUGAGAAAUGUAAUGGAAAAGCAUUAGGUGAUUCACCUGAAGCCUUUGAAGAGGAGCCUAAGAGGCCUACCUCUCUGAAAAUUACAGGAUCUGUCAGUUUUGAAUCCAACUCCUCCUGGGAAGUUCUUAGCGAUAAAUUGAUCCCAGGUGAAGGAGCCAUAUAUGAUGGUACACUGAAACAGAAUAAUGACCUUUCUCCAGCUGCUCUGACAGAUCAGAAAAAUUCUGUAGACUCUUUUGAAGACUACUCUGAAGAACUAACUAGAGAGACCUCUACUGAAUAUGAUAAUGAAACUAAAAGCCUAUCAGCCAAUACUUCUUCUUUGAGUCCAUCAUCUUGGACUUCAGGAAUACUUACAGAUGAAUCCAUAAAUAAAAUAGAAGAGACCAAAUCCCAAGCUUCAGAUCUUUUACCAGAAGAUACCUCAAAACAAGAAGAUACACAUACAUAUGUUCUUCAUCUUCUAAAUCAGGAAAUUUUGAAACCUCAAGAAAAUGAGCAUACAAAUCAAUCACCUGUCUUUGAGACAACAGAAACUAACCAUUAUUUGUUGAAUAACUCUAAUUUCCAAAGCCAAGAUCUAUCUACACAGCCUGAAACAGCUGAUGACUCUCACUCAGAUGUACCUGAAAGUCCAGAAGACCAGGAUGAAGUUGAUGAAGCUGAGUCUUCAGCUGAAGUCUUGCCCAGUUCUUCGAAAGUAUCUGUAAUACCCCAUGAUCUCUUUUAUUAUCCACAUUAUAAUGUUCCCAUAUCAGCAGUUUUGGAUGCUUACGUUGAGCCUCGUCUUGGAGAUUAUGAUAUUGGAAAUGACAAAUCUUAUUCUGACUCAGCAACAGAUAUUUCGCAUGAGAAGGGGAUCCCAGCACAGAACUACAAGGAAGAUGCUCCAGAGAAAGGAUUAGGGAGUAAGCUAGGUGACUCUGCAUCAGAAGUGAAUACUGCAAACCUAGAGGAGGCAAAAAUGGAUACUAACAGUCACAUGAAUUAUUCCUAUGAAAAAGAAGACGCUUUACUAACAGGAAAAGAGAGAGAAAUUGAAAAAGAAGAACAAAAAGCAUCCACCCCUCAAGAUUCUCCUAUUUCCCAACAUCCUGAGGAUGAAGAAAAUCAUCAGGAUGAUUUGUCAGAAGCUGUGAAGACACCAGAAAAAAGUAGUAAAAGGAAGGAAAAAAGAAAAAAUGUGAUCAAUGACGUACAGAUUUCAAAAGUUGGAGCUACUACUCUGUCACUAGAUAAACUGGAAGAAAUUGCUGAUUGUCAGGAAUUUACCAGAACUAGUUACAGUGAUUCCAACAUUUAUCUCCGAAAAAGGUUUUCUAAAACUUCUGAGAAGGAAACCUCUGGUGAAAGUGAGCAGGAGAUGACAGAUGUGGAUGAAAAGCUCACAGUCGUCAGGAAGAAAAAGGAUUUGGAAGCAAGUGAGACUCCAGCUCCAACUCUGCAGACUCUGAGCGCUGAACAACGAGAGCUGUUCUACUUCAUUGUGUUCCUCUGGGCACUGGUCUACUGCCUUUUACUUUUCCCACAGCUUGUUGGCAACAAAGCUUGAUCUCUGUGAGGUGUGUGGAAAAUAAAAGACGGUGGCCUGAUUGUUCUGUGUAUCUGCAUAUGAAUAUGUUCCUUCAGGUGAAGCACAACUAUAAAUGUAGGACCUGGUAUUUAUGGCUAUUAUCAGGCUCUCCUUUCCUCUACUGCUGUGCUCUGACUGUGUCUAAGCACAUUUUAUAUUAAGACAACUCUGUAAAUAUAUAUAAAGAAAAAUGAUUUCGUAGAUGCAAUUUUGUACAUUUGUGCCUUGCUUUAUAAUAUGUUAAAUAAAAAUGGAUAAUUAUCAGUAGAAAUAUGAACAGUUCAGAGCUCCAGUCUUCAAAAAUGAUUCUUCUGGCUGCAUUCACUGAUGCAGAGCCCUACAGCUGUGGAGAUGGGUCCUUUAUUUGACUUAACCUAUGAAUCUGGCCCACCAGAAAGAGCAGGUCUUGAAAUACUCUUUCACCAUUUUCAUGGAUGUUUUUGAUAGAGAUGGAGUUACAGAGUUAAUUUAACAUAGAGUACUGACUAUAAUUCAAUGAAAUGGAGUAACAAAAUCAGGCAGCUGCUACUGCUAAUAAUGGCAAAUGAGAACUGUGUCACUUUCUCACCAGGAGGGGAACAUGAAAGGUUAUGUGUCUGCAACAUAAAAUUGGCCCCUGGUGAUUAAGAUACUUCUUUCUUCGUGACAAGAUUAUAAGAGGCAAUAAAAAUCAUCAACUUUACCUCUAGGAGAAUACUAAACCAGAGCAUUCCAGGAAGGGCUCGGUUGUGGCCAUCACUGCCAUGUUCAGGCCUCAGAGUGUUUUACGCCCACAGCAGCUUCGCUGCUUCCCUGUGCACCCUUGCAACCGCCUGCUCCGUGGAAUACGUUUGCUCUGUGCCCAGACUGCAGUUCUUACAAGAGGGUCCUGAUCCUUGGUAUUACUACACUAUAACAAAUAAUCACAAGCAUUUAGUUAAAAAUGACUGGAUUGACCUUAAGUAAAGUAGCUUUUAAAUUAUGUGCUGCUGGUUUUUUGAGAAGAAUAAUGAAGUCCUUAUUUUUUAAUACUGAGUUACUUAUACAAGUCAAAUAAUUCUAUAUUUGUUGUAAUCGGAUAAAUUCAACUACUGCUUUUUUCUUGAACAAAGCUUAUUUUCAUUGGCAUACCACUUCAUGUAUCGUAUUUUUCUGUGUAAAUGCUGAAGAAAUUCUUUCGUCCCUCUUGUUCAUGUUCUCCA
RNA transcript from Nothoprocta perdicaria, 3848 nucleotides. It is a transcript of the gene named calmin, with no coding region annotated. The record is from RefSeq and is a predicted model, not a curated record. The transcript has 14 exons. Lineage: Eukaryota; Metazoa; Chordata; Aves; Tinamiformes; Tinamidae.